UAGUCUUACAGCUCUUUUGGAAUUUAUCUAGCAGGUUUUCUGUGUUGUUGUUUUUUCUCCUGGAACCACCCCA
Molecule: small nuclear RNA, 73 nt
Filed under: Echinops telfairi (small Madagascar hedgehog)
Lineage: Eukaryota; Metazoa; Chordata; Mammalia; Afrosoricida; Tenrecidae
Description: U7 small nuclear RNA (ENSETEG00000024893.1)
Rfam family: U7 small nuclear RNA
About the family: Animal histone pre-mRNAs are spliced by a different mechanism than nuclear pre-mRNAs and self-splicing introns. This processing involves the U7 snRNP, which contains only one RNA species: U7.
Source: RNAcentral